GAGUUUGAUCCUGGCUCAGAUUGAACGCUGGCGGCAGGCUUAACACAUGCAAGUCGAGCGGAAACGAUGGGAGCUUGCUCCCAGGCGUCGAGCGGCAGACGGGUGAGUAACGCGUGGGAACCUACCUGGAGGUUCGGAAUAACUCGGGGAAACUCGGGCUAAUACCGGAUACGCCCUUACGGGGAAAGAUUUAUCGCCUUUAGAUGGGCCCGCGUUGGAUUAGCUUGUUGGUGAGGUAAAAGCUCACCAAGGCGACGAUCCGUAGCUGGUCUGAGAGGAUGAUCAGCCACACUGGGACUGAGACACGGCCCAGACUCCUACGGGAGGCAGCAGUGAGGAAUAUUCGGCAAUGGGCGCAAGCCUGACCGAGCCAUGCCGCGUGAGUGAAGAAGGCCCUAGGGUUGUAAAGCUCUUUCACCGAUGAAGAUAAUGACGGUAGUCGGAGAAGAAGCCCCGGUAACUUCGUGCCAGCAGCCGCGGUAAUACGAAGGGGGCUAGCGUUGUUCGGAAUUACUGGGCGUAAAGCGCACGUAGGCGGGAUUGUUUAGUCAGGGGUGAAAUCCCGGGGUUCAACCCGGGAACUGCUCUGAUAACUGGGCAAUCUCGAGUCCGAGAGCAGGGUGAGUGGAUUCCGAGUGUAAAGGUGAAAAUUCCGGAAAAUAAUUCCGGGAGGGAACCACCCCAGGGGGCGAAAAGGGCGGGGUUCAACUGGGGUCCGGAAACAUGGACACGCGAAGGUGCCAAAAAGCUUGGGGGGAGCACAAACAGGGAUUAAGAUAACCAUGGGUAAGUCC
RNAcentral lists this ribosomal RNA (794 nucleotides) under uncultured Alphaproteobacteria bacterium. RNAcentral describes it as "bacterial SSU rRNA". It matches the Rfam family "Bacterial small subunit ribosomal RNA", at positions 9 to 796 of the family's 1533-position model. Lineage: Bacteria; Pseudomonadati; Pseudomonadota; Alphaproteobacteria. The record is from RNAcentral.